AAAUUGAAGAGUUUGAUCAUGGCUCAGAUUGAACGCUGGCGGCAGGCCUAACACAUGCAAGUCGAGCGGUAGCACAGAGAGCUUGCUCUCGGGUGACGAGCGGCGGACGGGUGAGUAAUGUCUGGGAAACUGCCUGAUGGAGGGGAUAACUACUGGAAACGGUAGCUAAUACCGCAUAAUGUCGCAAGACCAAAGUGGGGACCUUCGGGCCUCAUGCCAUCAGAUGUGCCCAGAUGGGAUUAGCUAGUAGGUGGGGUAACGGCUCACCUAGGCGACGAUCCCUAGCUGGUCUGAGAGGAUGACCAGCCACACUGGAACUGAGACACGGUCCAGACUCCUACGGGAGGCAGCAGUGGGGAAUAUUGCACAAUGGGCGCAAGCCUGAUGCAGCCAUGCCGCGUGUGUGAAGAAGGCCUUCGGGUUGUAAAGCACUUUCAGCGGGGAGGAAGGCGGUGAGGUUAAUAACCUCAUCGAUUGACGUUACCCGCAGAAGAAGCACCGGCUAACUCCGUGCCAGCAGCCGCGGUAAUACGGAGGGUGCAAGCGUUAAUCGGAAUUACUGGGCGUAAAGCGCACGCAGGCGGUCUGUCAAGUCGGAUGUGAAAUCCCCGGGCUCAACCUGGGAACUGCAUUCGAAACUGGCAGGCUAGAGUCUUGUAGAGGGGGGUAGAAUUCCAGGUGUAGCGGUGAAAUGCGUAGAGAUCUGGAGGAAUACCGGUGGCGAAGGCGGCCCCCUGGACAAAGACUGACGCUCAGGUGCGAAAGCGUGGGGAGCAAACAGGAUUAGAUACCCUGGUAGUCCACGCCGUAAACGAUGUCGAUUUGGAGGUUGUGCCCUUGAGGCGUGGCUUCCGGAGCUAACGCGUUAAAUCGACCGCCUGGGGAGUACGGCCGCAAGGUUAAAACUCAAAUGAAUUGACGGGGGCCCGCACAAGCGGUGGAGCAUGUGGUUUAAUUCGAUGCAACGCGAAGAACCUUACCUGGUCUUGACAUCCACAGAACUUUCCAGAGAUGGAUUGGUGCCUUCGGGAACUGUGAGACAGGUGCUGCAUGGCUGUCGUCAGCUCGUGUUGUGAAAUGUUGGGUUAAGUCCCGCAACGAGCGCAACCCUUAUCCUUUGUUGCCAGCGGUUCGGCCGGGAACUCAAAGGAGACUGCCAGUGAUAAACUGGAGGAAGGUGGGGAUGACGUCAAGUCAUCAUGCCCGUUACGACCGGGGCUACACACGUGCUACAAUGGCAUAUACAAAGAGAAGCGACCUCGCGAGAGCAAGCGGACCUCAUAAAGUAUGUCGUAGUCCGGAUUGAGUCUGCAACUCGACUCCAUGAAGUCGGAAUCGCUAGUAAUCGUAGAUCAGAAUGCUACGGUGAAUACGUUCCCGGCCUUGUACACACCGCCCGUCACACCAUGGGAGUGGGUUGCAAAAGAAGUAGGUAGCUUAACCUUCGGGAGGGCGCUUACCACUUUGUGAUUCAUGACUGGGGUGAAGUCGUAACAAGGUAACCGUAGGGGAACCUGCGGUUGGAUCACCUCCUUACCUUAAAGAA
This 1546-nucleotide ribosomal RNA is filed under the name Klebsiella pneumoniae. RNAcentral describes it as "bacterial SSU rRNA". It matches the Rfam family "Bacterial small subunit ribosomal RNA". Lineage: Bacteria; Pseudomonadati; Pseudomonadota; Gammaproteobacteria; Enterobacterales; Enterobacteriaceae. The record is from RNAcentral.